RNAcentral lists this ribosomal RNA (253 nucleotides) under uncultured bacterium. Its description in RNAcentral is "partial 16S ribosomal RNA". It matches the Rfam family "Bacterial small subunit ribosomal RNA", at positions 524 to 776 of the family's 1533-position model. The record is from RNAcentral.
GACGGAGGAUGCAAGUGUUAUCCGGAAUCACUGGGCGUAAAGCGUCUGUAGGUGGUCAAAUAAGUCAACUGUUAAAUCUUGAGGCUCAACCUCAAAACCGCAGUCGAAACUAUUAGACUAGAGUAUAGUAGGGGUAAAGGGAAUUUCCAGUGGAGCGGUGAAAUGCGUAGAGAUUGGAAAGAACACCGAUGGCGAAGGCACUUUACUGGGCUAUGACUAACACUCAGAGACGAAAGCUAGGGUAGCAAACGGG